GCUGAUGUAGCUCAAUUGGCAGAGCUCUUGAUUUGUAAUCAAGAGGUUAUGGGUUCGAGUCCCAUCAUCAGCU
Molecule: transfer RNA, 73 nt
Filed under: Flavobacteriales bacterium
Lineage: Bacteria; Pseudomonadati; Bacteroidota; Flavobacteriia; Flavobacteriales
Description: tRNA-Thr
Rfam family: tRNA
About the family: Transfer RNA (tRNA) molecules are approximately 80 nucleotides in length.
Source: RNAcentral